CCCUUAGAUGUCCUGGGCCGCACGCGCGUUACACUGAUGCAUUCAACGAGUUUUUCCUUGGCCGAGAGGCCUGGGCAAUCUUUUAAACGUGCAUCGUGAUAGGGAUAGAUUAUUGCAAUUAUUAAUCUUGAACGAGGAAUUCCUAGUAAACGCAGAUCAUCAAUCUGCAUUGAUUACGUCCCUGCCCUUUGUACACACCGCCCGUCGCACCUACCGAUUGAAUGGUCCGGUGAAGCCUCGGGAUUGUGGCGAGUUCCCUUUAUUGGGAGUUUGUCGCGAGAACUUGUCUAAACCUUAUCAUUUAGAGGAAGGUGAAGUCGUAACA
This 325-nucleotide ribosomal RNA is filed under the name uncultured eukaryote. RNAcentral's name for it is "partial 18S ribosomal RNA". It matches the Rfam family "Eukaryotic small subunit ribosomal RNA", at positions 1470 to 1796 of the family's 1831-position model. The record is from RNAcentral.